Molecule: ribosomal RNA, 486 nt
Filed under: uncultured bacterium
Lineage: Bacteria
Description: partial 16S ribosomal RNA
Rfam family: Bacterial small subunit ribosomal RNA
Source: RNAcentral
AUUGAACGCUGGCGGCAUGCCUUACACAUGCAAGUCGAACGGCAGCACGGGUGCUUGCACCUGGUGGCGAGUGGCGAACGGGUGAGUAAUACAUCGGAACAUGUCCUGUAGUGGGGGAUAGCCCGGCGAAAGCCGGAUUAAUACCGCAUACGAUCUACGGAUGAAAGCGGGGGACCUUCGGGCCUCGCGCUAUAGGGUUGGCCGAUGGCUGAUUAGCUAGUUGGUGGGGUAAAGGCCUAACAAGGCGACGAUCAGUAGCUGGUCUGAGAGGACGACCAGCCACACUGGGACUGAGACACGGCCCAGACUCCUACGGGAGGCAGCAGUGGGGAAUUUUGGACAAUGGGCGAAAGCCUGAUCCAGCAAUGCCGCGUGUGUGAAGAAGGCCUUCGGGUUGUAAAGCACUUUUGUCCGGAAAGAAAUCCUUGGCCCUAAUACGGUCGGGGGAUGACGGUACCGGAAGAAUAAGCGCCGGCUAACUACGUG